This 406-nucleotide ribosomal RNA is filed under the name uncultured bacterium. RNAcentral describes it as "partial 16S ribosomal RNA". It matches the Rfam family "Bacterial small subunit ribosomal RNA", at positions 30 to 526 of the family's 1533-position model. The record is from RNAcentral.
AUUGAACGCUGGCGGCAGGCCUAACACAUGCAAGUCGAACGAGUGGCGGACGGGUGAGUAAUGUCUGGGAAACUGCCCGAUGGAGGGGGAUAACUACUGGAAACGGUAGCUAAUACCGCAUACCAUCGGAUGUGCCCAGAUGGGAUUAGCUAGUAGGGGGGGGAACGGCUCACCUAGGCGACGAUCCCUAGCUGGUCUGAGAGGAUGACCCACUACACUGGAACUGGGACACGGUCCAGACUACUACGGGAGGCAGCAGUGGGCAAUAUUGCGCAAUGGGCGCACGCCUGAUGCAGCCAUGCCGCGUGUAUGAAGAAGGCCUUCGGGUUGGAAAGUACUUUCAGCGAGGAGGCGUUACUCGCAGAAGAAGCACCGGCUAACUCCGUGCCAGCAGCCGCGGUAAUUC